GACGAAUGCUGGCUGCGUGCUUAACACAUGCAAGUCGAACGGUGAAGGGGAGCUAGCUCCCCGGAUCAGUGGCGAACGGGUGAGUAACACGUGGGCAACCUGCCCCUCACUCUGGGAUAACUCCGGGAAACCGGGGCUAAUACCGGAUACGACCGGGAGCGACAUCGCUCCUGGUGGAAAGAACUUCGGUGAGGGAUGGGCCCGCGGCCUAUCAGCUAGUUGGUGGGGUAACGGCCCACCAAGGCGACGACGGGUAGCCGGCCUGAGAGGGCGACCGGCCACACUGGGACUGAGGCACGGCCCAGACUCCUACGGGAGGCAGCAGUGGGGAAUAUUGCGCAAUGGGCGAAAGCCUGACGCAGCGACGCAGCGUGAGGGACGAAGGCCUUCGGGUUGUAAACCUCUUUCAGCGGGGACGAAGCGAAAGUGACGGUACCCGCAGAAGAAGCACCGGCUAACUACGUGCCAGCCGCCGCCGUAA
Molecule: ribosomal RNA, 481 nt
Filed under: uncultured bacterium
Lineage: Bacteria
Description: partial 16S ribosomal RNA
Rfam family: Bacterial small subunit ribosomal RNA
Source: RNAcentral